RNAcentral lists this ribosomal RNA (256 nucleotides) under uncultured bacterium. RNAcentral describes it as "partial 16S ribosomal RNA". It matches the Rfam family "Bacterial small subunit ribosomal RNA", at positions 1234 to 1500 of the family's 1533-position model. The record is from RNAcentral.
CGGGUACAAAGAGACGCAAAGUCGCGAGGCGGAGCAAAUCUCAAAAGCCGAUCCCAGUUCGGAUUGCAGGCUGCAACUCGCCUGCAUGAAGUUGGAGUUGCUAGUAAUCGCGGAUCAGAAUGCCGCGGUGAAUGCGUUCCCGGGUCUUGUACACACCGCCCGUCACACCACGGAAGUUGGGGGUGCCCAAAGUUGGCAGGAUAAUAUGUUACCUAAGGCAAAACCGAUGACUGGGGUGAAGUCGUAACAAGGUAUC